UACGUAGGGUGCAAGCGUUGUCCGGAAUUAUUGGGCGUAAAGAGCUCGUAGGCGGUCUGUCGCGUCGGCUGUGAAAACCCGGAGCUCAACUCCGGGCCUGCAGUCGAUACGGGCAGACUGGAGUUCGGCAGGGGAGACUGGAAUUCCUGGUGUAGCGGUGAAAUGCGCAGAUAUCAGGAGGAACACCGGUGGCGAAGGCGGUUCUCUGGGCAUGUCCUGACGCUGAGGAGCGAAAGUGUGGGGAGCGAACAGG
RNAcentral lists this ribosomal RNA (253 nucleotides) under uncultured bacterium. RNAcentral describes it as "partial 16S ribosomal RNA". It matches the Rfam family "Bacterial small subunit ribosomal RNA", at positions 524 to 776 of the family's 1533-position model. The record is from RNAcentral.